This 482-nucleotide ribosomal RNA is filed under the name uncultured bacterium. RNAcentral's name for it is "partial 16S ribosomal RNA". It matches the Rfam family "Bacterial small subunit ribosomal RNA", at positions 30 to 507 of the family's 1533-position model. The record is from RNAcentral.
AUUGAACGCUGGCGGCAUGCUUUACACAUGCAAGUCGAACGGUAACAGGCCGCACGUUCCUGACGAGUGGCGACCGGGUGAGUAAUGCAUCCGAACGGGCCCCGUCGUGGGGGAUAACUACUCGCAAGAGUAGCUAAUACCGCAUACGAUCUAUGGAUGAAAGCGGGGGACCGCAAGGCCUCGCGCGAUUGGAGCGGCCGCUGUCAGAUUAGGUAGUUGGUGGGGUAAAGGCUCACAAAGCCAACGAUCUGUAGCUGGUCUGAGAGGACGACCAGCCACACUGGGACUGAGACACGGCCCAGACUCCUACGGGAGGCAGCAGUGGGGAAUUUUGGACAAUGGGCGCAAGCCUGAUCCAGCAAUGCCGCGUGCAGGAAGAAGGCCUUCGGAUUGUAAACUGCUUUUGUACGGAACGAAACGGCUCUGGUUAAUACCCGGGGCUAAUGACGGUACCGUAAGAAUAAGCACGGGCUAACUACGUG